UACGUAGGGGGCAAGCGUUGUCCGGAAUCAUUGGGCGUAAAGCGCGUGUAGGCGGCUCGGUAAGUCCGCUCUGAAAGUCCAGGGCUCAACCCUGGGAUGCGGGUGGAUACUGCCGGGCUUGAGUCCGGAAGAGGCGAGUGGAAUUCCCGGUGUAGCGGUGAAAUGCGCAGAUAUCGGGAGGAACACCAAUGGCGAAGGCAGCUCGCUGGGACGUGACUGACGCUGAGACGCGAAAGCGUGGGGAGCAAACAGG
This 253-nucleotide ribosomal RNA is filed under the name uncultured bacterium. Its description in RNAcentral is "partial 16S ribosomal RNA". It matches the Rfam family "Bacterial small subunit ribosomal RNA", at positions 524 to 776 of the family's 1533-position model. The record is from RNAcentral.